UCUGGUGGCUCAAUCGGAUAGAGCGUUGGACUUCUAAUCCAAAGGUUGCGGGUUCAAGUCCCGCCCAGAG
RNAcentral lists this transfer RNA (70 nucleotides) under Perkinsus olseni. RNAcentral describes it as "tRNA-Arg". It matches the Rfam family "tRNA". Rfam says of the family: Transfer RNA (tRNA) molecules are approximately 80 nucleotides in length. Their secondary structure includes four short double-helical elements and three loops (D, anti-codon, and T loops). The record is from RNAcentral. Lineage: Eukaryota; Perkinsozoa; Perkinsida; Perkinsidae.